This 319-nucleotide ribosomal RNA is filed under the name Pseudococcus odermatti. RNAcentral describes it as "partial 28S large subunit ribosomal RNA". The record is from RNAcentral. Lineage: Eukaryota; Metazoa; Arthropoda; Insecta; Hemiptera; Pseudococcidae.
AAACCGUUCGGGGGUAAACGGACAGAGCCCGUGAAUCCGGGCGACGGAAUUCAGAAUCGGCGGCGUUCGCGCGUCGCCGGUUCGAUAUUUCCGUCGCCAUCGCACAAUACGGACGUCGCGACCCGUUCGGUGUCGGUCUGCAGGAGACGUGCGAAAGUUCGUGGGCGUCGAUCGGGUUUCGGCUCGGCUGGCGUUCGCGAGUGCGCGUUUUUUUUCACUGGCCGACUCGCCGGACGGUAAGCGAAGCGGUGAUCGCGGCGGCCUCUUGUCGGCGCCGUCGCGUUACCGGUCAGCGACGAAUCUUCGGGCCUCUUUCCGA